Molecule: ribosomal RNA, 691 nt
Filed under: uncultured Desulfosporosinus sp.
Lineage: Bacteria; Bacillati; Bacillota; Clostridia; Eubacteriales; Desulfitobacteriaceae
Description: bacterial SSU rRNA
Rfam family: Bacterial small subunit ribosomal RNA
Source: RNAcentral
UGGCGGCGUGCSUAACACAUGCAAGUCGAACGGAGAAUUUCAAUAAGUUUACUUAGCGAAAUUUUUAGUGGCGGACGGGUGAGUAACGCGUGGGUAACCUACCCAUAAAUCCGGGACAACCCUUGGAAACGAGGGCUAAUACCGGAUAAUCUUAAAGCUUGGCAUCAAGCAUUAAGGAAAGGUGGCCUCUGAAGAUGCUACCGAUUAUGGAUGGACCCGCGUCUGAUUAGCUAGUUGGUGGGGUAAAGGCCUACCAAGGCGACGAUCAGUAGCCGGCCUGAGAGGGUGAACGGCCACACUGGGACUGAGACACGGCCCAGACUCCUACGGGAGGCAGCAGUGGGGAAUCUUCCGCAAUGGACGAAAGUCUGACGGAGCAACGCCGCGUGUAUGAUGAAGGUCUUCGGAUUGUAAAGUACUGUCUUUGGGGAAGAAUGACUGAUUUGAAAAUAUUGAGUCAGUAUGACGGUACCCAAGGAGGAAGCCCCGGCUAACUACGUGCCAGCAGCCGCGGUAAUACGUAGGGGGCAAGCGUUGUCCGGAAUUAUUGGGCGUAAAGGGCGCGUAGGCGGGUAUUUAAGUGCAGUGUGAAAGAUCGGGGCUCAACCCUGAGAGUGCAUCGGAAACUGGGUAUCUUGAGGACAGGAGAGGAAAGUGGAAUUCCACGUGUAGCGGUGAAAUGCGUAGAUAU